RNAcentral lists this ribosomal RNA (320 nucleotides) under uncultured eukaryote. RNAcentral describes it as "partial 18S ribosomal RNA". It matches the Rfam family "Eukaryotic small subunit ribosomal RNA", at positions 1470 to 1796 of the family's 1831-position model. The record is from RNAcentral.
CCCCUAGAUGUUCUGGGCCGCACGCGCGCUACACUGGACAGUUCAACAAGUCUUAACCUUGGCCGAUAGGUCUGGGUAAUCUUUGAACGCUGUUCGUGAUUGGGAUAGACCUUUGCAAUUAUGGGUCUUCAACGAGGAAUUCCUAGUAAACGCAAGUCAUCAGCUUGCAUUGAUUACGUCCCUGCCCUUUGUACACACCGCCCGUCGCACCUACCGAUUGAAUGGUCCGGUGAAAUCUCGGGACGGCGGCUUGGUCGCUUGCGUCCGACUGCUGAAACUUGAUUAAACCAUAUCAUUUAGAGGAAGGUGAAGUCGUANCA